UCCCCAGUGGCGCAAUUGGUUAGCGCGCGGUACUUAUAAUGCCGAGGUUGUGAGUUCGAUCCUCUACCCGUGGAA
RNAcentral lists this transfer RNA (75 nucleotides) under Trichonephila inaurata madagascariensis. Its description in RNAcentral is "tRNA-Ile". It matches the Rfam family "tRNA". From Rfam's summary of the family: Transfer RNA (tRNA) molecules are approximately 80 nucleotides in length. Their secondary structure includes four short double-helical elements and three loops (D, anti-codon, and T loops). The record is from RNAcentral. Lineage: Eukaryota; Metazoa; Arthropoda; Arachnida; Araneae; Nephilidae.